Long non-coding RNA from Triplophysa dalaica, 1442 nucleotides. RefSeq lists it as uncharacterized. NCBI's taxonomy places the organism in Eukaryota, Metazoa, Chordata, Actinopteri, Cypriniformes, Nemacheilidae. The transcript has 3 exons. The record is from RefSeq and is a predicted model, not a curated record.
UCACAGUUAAUCCCAACUGAAAAUAGAGUCAAUCUGUAACAUACAGAAAGAUAUCCACAUGCCGGCAGCAGCUGAGGACUUCAAAGGCAGGCCACUCAGAGCUUGAAGCUGAGGAAAGCACUCGUGUGCUCAGCAGGCCAGAACAGAAAACACAACUGAGGCCUCUUCCAUCCGUUUGAGGGACAGACCUCGAUCAGAGCUCAUCUCUGCUCCUGUGGGCCACGUCUCUUUCAGGAAAGCUGGACGACUUGACCUCCUCUGGGCUCCUCCCAACAUUCUCUCUCUCUCUCUCUCUCUCUUUGUCUCCCCACCCCACUCUUUUAUGUAUGUAUCUAUCUAUAGUCCGGCAGAUGCAAGCCCCAUUUGUACUUCCCUUGACACUCCUGCAGGGGCUUUGCUUAGGGAUGCGGGAGCCACAGCCAAUCCCGACCGUGGCUCAUGGAUCAACCUGACACUUUAUGAGCAUCAGCAGAUUAUGAGCUAUAGGACCCUGACAGUGCUGUAUUGUUCUCCCAUCUAAAUAUGAACAAUACGGUCCGACCAGCGUGCCACUGACAGCUUAUUCCCUCUUAUCACUCCUGUGGUGUGGCGGGACAUGAUCUGUUGGGCUUCUCUCUCUGCACACACAAACACAAGCAUAUGCAUGGAAACAUAGACCUUCAUCUGUGGUUUUGCUCAGGCAAGGCAAAACCUGACACUCAGAAGCGCAUAUAUAGUUGCACAUAUCUUGGCAAACUUUAGCGAGCGGACAUGCAAACAACUGUAGAAAAACCCUGACGUGCUAUAAAAAGCUGCAUCAUCUGAAUAAGAAACUGUUUUACCAAAAAGGGAACACAUCUAUUAAUCUGUUCAUUAUUCUGGUGAUAGAUUUUUCAGCUCUGUACCGGGUUAUCAUGUAUAUCUACAUGGCGUAAUCACUGGCAUCACAGAUUAAAACCACCGGCUAUGUCAUCCAUUUAUUUAAAUUCUUUUCCGAGCAAACUGUGACAAAUGUAACAACCUUUAAUUAUUCAGUCGUCCCAUCCAGAAGGGGCGCGCCUGAGCAUCAUAUGGGGCGUUUGUAAAGAUAAGGCAUUCAGAAUCCUGAAAUAAGAUAGGAAAUAGGUAAUUGCUUAGUCAUUUUAUACAGCUCAAGUAAUUGUAAGAGACAGAUACAAAUUUACCUAUAACCAGCAUUUCUACAUUUACCGUGUAUUAGCCAUUCUAAUCCUUUGUCUGUAAAAGCAGAAACUUCGGGAGUGGCAAACGUGAAAAAAAGAACACCCAGCAUUGUGUCAAAAAUGGAUAACCUGAACGGUUGGGUUAAAUUAACACAAAUGGGUAAUAUGUGAUCCAACAAUAGAAUAGACUUGAAACAACCCAGCAUUUAUAAGCCAACGGCUGGGUUUGUUAAUUUUUUGACACAACGAUGGGUUGAAAUAACCCAACAAUUGUUUGUGUUU